CAGGACGAACGCUGGCGGCGUGCCUAAUACAUGCAAGUCGAACGGUCUUUCUAUGGAAGCUUGCUUCCACUGAGAAGAUAGUGGCGAACGGGUGAGUAACACGUGGGUAACCUGCCCAUAAGAGGGGGGAUAACAUCCGGAAACGGGUGCUAAUACCGCAUAGUUUCUUGAUCGCAUGAUCGGGAAAGGAAAGACGGCCUUUGUGCUGUCGCUUAUGGAUGGACCCGCGGCGUAUUAGUUAGUUGGUGAGGUAACGGCUCACCAAGACGAUGAUACGUAGCCGACCUGAGAGGGUGAUCGGCCACAUUGGGACUGAGACACGGCCCAAACUCCUACGGGAGGCAGCAGUAGGGAAUCUUCCGCAAUGGACGAAAGUCUGACGGAGCAACGCCGCGUGAGUGAAGAAAGGUUUUCGGAUCGUAAAACUCUGUUGUCAGAGAAGAACAAGUUGGAGAGUAACUGCUCCAGCCUUGACGGUAUCUGACCAGAAAGCCACGGCUAACUACGUGCCAGCCGCCGC
RNAcentral lists this ribosomal RNA (520 nucleotides) under uncultured bacterium. RNAcentral describes it as "bacterial SSU rRNA". It matches the Rfam family "Bacterial small subunit ribosomal RNA", at positions 25 to 518 of the family's 1533-position model. The record is from RNAcentral.